AAACCCUAUGUGCUCACCAGGCUCCCAAGCCUGACCCACUCAGUUUUAUGUAUUACAGGUAGUGGCGCAUGAGCAUAGGUGUGAUGUUUUGGACGAGGGAUUACGGAUAUAGGCCUGUAGAUAUGAAAUAAUGUAGUAAGGCUUAUAUUGUACUGUUUAUGCUUUUGAUCUGUACGAACAUGACAUCCCAAGUCUUUUAAUGAAAUACAUUUCUAUGGAAAUGCUUUUGAUAAAUCUUUAUCAUAUUUUGUUUUGGGACAAAUUCCGCAACACUUUCAUUUAAAAUGUUACUCUGAUUUUUAAACAAAGCAUAAACAAACCGGUCUUUUCUGGCCGUGAUUUUGGGGAUGUCACAGUUGGUAUCAGAGCAUUAGUUUAAGCGAACUAGGAAUUUGUAGGAUUUCUAGAGUUAAACUUAGAAUGCUAAGCGAUGAUUGUGAGGUGUGAGCACUAGCUUAUUUUAGGAAUUAUGCCUAAAAUGCUUUUAUGUGCUAAAUGCUUUGUGCCUGACAUGCUAUUAUUUGUUCGGAUCUAUGGUCUGUUGCCGACCGGAUCUGGAAACCUUAUGUGUUUAGGAUUCUAAACGUUUAAUUACGAUAUUAGAACUAGCAUAUAAACGUUUCGGAGUGAUAAGGAUGAUUUAAACGUCAAUCCUAAAUAAAGAUCUAGAUUCACCUUUUUCGGUGUAUAGAUCAAGAUGGAAAGGACCCGUAGCGGAAACGUGAAUGCAAAUGGGAAACGAGAUCAGCCCNAGCGGAAACGUGAAUGCAAAUGGGAACCGAGAUCAGCCCCCAGUGAUACAACAAAUACCAGUCGUAGUAGAAGUUGCACCCGAGCCAAUCACGAUGGCCGGAGUGCAAGCAUUGAUCCAGAUGAUGUUGGAUCGUCAAAUGGAGGAAACAAGGGGUUUACUUCAACAAGCUCGAGAGGAAAUUACGAUGCCUAUUGAACAGCCCGAGCUGAAUGACGGACAGUCUGAGGAAGGGAACGACAGCAGGACCGUUGGUCAAGCUGAUCCCCUGGUGAUUAGGAGGAACAAUCAUGAUGAAGGAGUCGAGAUUAAUGGAUGCAAGUACAAAUAUUUUAUAACUUUCAAGCCAUCGACUUUCACUGGGAAGGAAGAUCUGAUCUGGGUCAUGGAUUGGAUCUCAGAGAUGGAAUUGGCCUUCAUGACAUGUGGUUGCAAAGGCAAGCUACAAACCAUGUUUGCAGUACGUCAAUUCAGAGGAGGCGCUGUUCGCUGGUGGAAUACCCUAGGGAAGACUUUGAGCCCCAAUGAGCCCCUGCAACUGGCAUGGGCAGAGUUUCUGGUGCAAUUUAAACGAAAGUACUACUCAGCUUAAAACUUACUCGAGCUAGAGAACCAGUUCCUGACCUUGAAGAAAGGAAGCAUGUCAAUUGAUGAAUACACAAACAACUUCACAGAGAAGAUGGAGUUCGCCUUGCGCCUUGUUCCGGAUGAGCUGACGAAAAUCGACAAGUACGCAAAGGGACUUCCAUGGGAGUACGCGGUGCCAGUGCGUCAGGCACCUACUCUGGAGGCAGCUAUCUGGGCUGCCAAGUCUGUGGAAGAUAUGAUUAAGGGAAGAGCUGCCAACAAGAUUGAGGUUGGCGAAAAGAGGAAGUUUGAGGGGUCUACGAGGCCCAAUAAGAAGAUCAAGUCUGGUUCAAAGGAGUUUAGCGGAGGAGGAAACAAAGUGAAAUGGUGCGAGAAGUGCAAGAAGAAUCACUUUGGGAAAUGUAGCGAAGAAGUGACUUGCUACAAGUGUGGGAAGACCAGACAUUACGCCAACGAGUGCACCGCCAGCAAAAGGGUGUGUUAUGAAUGCCGUGAAGAAGGGCAUGUUGCUAAGGAUUGCCCGAAAAAGAAAGAGGCGGCAAGACCAAACAUUCCGCCAAAACCAAAGGCAAGAGCAUUCCAUAUGAUCCUAGACGAAGCAGCUGACGAUGCAAGGAAUCAGGAGUGAGGAUGGAUACAUGGAGAUCAAGUUAUGAAGAAGCCAUGUAGAUAGUGUCAUAUGGUGUAGCCUAUUAGAGGCAUAAUCUAGGGUGAACUUGAACACCCAUGUAAUCGUUUCAAGGAAUAAUAUAAAACCUUCAUUUUGAUAUUUUAUGUGUUAAGUUUCUAUGUGAUUUUCUUGUAUGGUGACUUGGAAAACUACGGGACAAUACUUGGGACGAGUAUGAGUAGGUGUGAAAGGUAGUAGAGGCCUAUACUACCGGAAGCACAGGACUCACACUUGGAUCAGGGAAAGUCACAAGGUUACCAAGAAACUAGUAAUUGAUUUUGUUUUAUUCAAGUAUGUCAUUACCAUUGUUUCGGUAAUGACUAAGAAGAUUGUUGUUAUCCCGACCCUAGUGGUCAUAUCACAUUGAGUCCGACUACGAUGAGUAGGUUACGUGGUUCAGAGAACCAAGUUUGAUGUAGCGUCCGACUUAAACCAAACGAUUGAAAUCAAAGCGAUCAAUAGAAGUAUCACGCUCGUUGUUAAAGAAGUUGGUAGCUAGAAAUGCUACAUGUUAAAAUGUGAUUAUAUCACAUUAGACGAUGAAGGAAGGCAUAUUCCAUUCCGGAAUUUGACUAUAAGAGACCUGAGUCUAAGCAUUGCUACAUACGAUGAUAGGUCAUUAGAAUAUGACACAUCGGUCAAUUGUAGUAAUCAAAUUAACUUAUCCUAAGUUUGUUAAGAAGAAGAAGGAGUCUUUGAUAAAGAAUGAGGUUGUGACACUAAGGUCAUGAUUGAAAGUCUAACGAGCAGGUGUAAGACCGAGCAGCGCCUGCAAUCAAGGAGUCCAAGAGUUAGAUACUCGUUCGAAGCAACAUAGAAGUUACAGUUAGUACCCAGGAUGAAGAGAUAACGUAUGGAGUCAUUAUACAAUCCUGUUUCGUUGAUGAUUCCGGGACGUAAUCAUCCUAAGGGGGAGAUAAUUGUAACGCCCGUAGAUCCGGGCUAGUCAAUUUAGAGAUAAUAGGGGUCGAAAACAACUUUUCGGCAAAAGAUUAUUUAGAAUAAAUAAUCUUAACCCAGUUGUAGUAUAUGUUAUAAGGUUUCCGUACAUAUAAAGAGCGCUGAAAUCCGAGUUAUAACGAAGAAGUUAUGACCCGUCGAAGUUUUACGGCAAAACCGGUACGACACCGAGAGACGUAAAUAGUGAAUUGAUGAUGGAGGAAUUUUUAGCCUUAGUGAUCUAAACUAAAGUUGCAUUAUAUGUUAAAUCGAGAACAUCCAUAAAAAGAACGCCCAAAUCCGACUUCGUAUGAGGAAGUUAUGAUUUUUCUAAAAUUCGGCUUAGCAGUGCACGACCCGAAACUCGAAUUUUAGUUCGAGCGGUUUUUGACUUACGCGACCUAAAUGUGAGUUGAAGAUAUCAUUAAUAGGAACUCACGGUAAAAAGACAGAAGAAAACAGAGUCCGUACGUAGAAGUUAUGAAUUUUACGCGGACGUUUAACAGUAUAAUCUCCUUGUACUGUUAAAUUUAAGAUCGGUCGAGAAUUAGCCGACGGAGUAAAAAUGAAAGUUGUAGAUAUUAUUUUUACCUACGUGUGGAUAUAAAGAGCGUCAAAAACGGAGGUCGUAUGUGAAAGUUACAGAUUUUAGAAGUCGGAAGUGUGCUGUGCGAAAAUGGGUGAUGUGGCACAAUCUUGGCCAUUGCUUUCUCCCCAAGUCUUGCCACUAGAUGGUGACAUGUGGCACCAAGUUCAGCCAUUUUCACCCUAUAAAUAGAACCUCUCCCACCCUCAUUUUCUUCACACCUUUCCCAUUCUUUCUUCUCUUUACUCUCUCUCUAGAACCUCUCUCUAGCCCCGAAACCCCCCGAAAAGCCUAGGGAACCUCCCUAGCACGAGGCGGAAGCCCCGGAGUGCUCGACGGCUCCGAGAAGAAGAGCUUUUCGGCUCGGGAACGCUGCUCCAAGCAAAGCCCGGUUUUCUAUAAAACCCGCUGUAAGUGAGCUACGCCUACGCUAUUUUUAAUAUAGCUUUUAUUUAAUUAUAGUAACGUUAUUAGGAACUUAUAAUAAGUACUUGGGCUAUUAUUAUGGGUUAUAUAAGUAUUGUUUAACGCUUAUAUAAUAGUAAUAAUAGCUAGACUAUUAAUUAGUCUCGGCGAAUAAUAGACUAAACUCUAGUGGUAAUAAUACUAGGUUUCGUCGAAGGAAAUUAUUUUUAAGAAGCGAAGCGCUGUCUGAGUUCGGAUUCACCACCUUUUCAAGUGAGUGCAUAGUUACUUUCAGCUUACACAUAGAUAUGAAGUAUUUUAUAUAAAUUACGUGCUAUGUGUGCAUAUUACCUGAAUACUUGCUAUCUAUGCUAGAUGAACAUUUUUAUACAUGUUUUCAAAGAUUUAAACUGUAUAUUUAUUUUAUAUCUACGAAAAUGUUGGGGUAAAACAUGGGUAGAUGUAUUAGUUGCUGUGUGAUAAAAUGAAAUAAUGAGAGGCCUCGUUAUAGAUGUUAUUGAUGAUCUAGUCAUCUAGCGGAGUAUAGAUGACGACCACGGACUAUUCUAGACAGUCCAGUGGAACACUAGCAGGCUCGCAACCUGUAGGUGUUUAUUCGAACUGUGUGUUUAUUUGAACUGUGUGCUCACCAGAUGUACUCCAUCCCCCACAUGGUUGCCUUAAGGACAUUUAUUGUUGAGGAAUCCCCUUAGCAUUAGUGUCCGUCCCGAUGAUAAUCCUUAGGAUAGGUCCCUUAUGAUAGAUGCUUAGGGACGUAAUGUGAGGAUAACGGGAACGGGUAAUCGGGUUUGUUUAAUUUAAUGAAGUUAAUAAACUUAUUUAUUGUGGGUUGAAAACCCUAUGUGCUCACUAGACUCCCAAGCCUGACCCACUCAGUUUUAUGUAUUACAGGUAGUGGCGCUUGAGCAUAGAUAUGAUGUUGGACGAGGGAUUACGGAUAUAGGCCUGUAGAUAUGAAAUAAUGUAGUAAGGCUUAUAUUGUACUGUUUAUGCUUUUGAUCUGUACGAACAUGACAUCCCAAGUCUUUUAAUGAAAUACAUUUCUACGGAAAUGCUUUUGAUAAAUCUUUAUCAUAUUUUGUUUUGGGACAAAUUCCGCAACACUUUCAUUUAAAAUGUUACUCUGAUUUUUAAACAAAGCAUAAACAAACCGGUCUUUUU
RNAcentral lists this long non-coding RNA (5121 nucleotides) under Lactuca sativa (garden lettuce). RNAcentral's name for it is "long non-coding RNA (LSAT_LNC009359)". The record is from RNAcentral. Lineage: Eukaryota; Viridiplantae; Streptophyta; Magnoliopsida; Asterales; Asteraceae.